CAGCCCCCACGCCGGCAUUCACAACUCGACCUGGAACGCGAAUGGCGAGACCGCGGGCGGAGCGUCCGAGGUCGUUCGCGGCGCAAAGUUCUUCAUCGCCUCGCAGGUCGAGACCGGGCACUUAUGCCCGAUCACCAUGACGCGCGCCGCGGUCGGCGCGCUGGCGGUCGAUCCCGCGCCACGUGCCGGUGCUCGGCACCCGCAGCUACGAUCCCUCAUUCGUUCCGUGGUGGACCAAGCGCGGCAUGACCAUGGGCA
This 258-nucleotide unclassified non-coding RNA is filed under the name Hevea brasiliensis (rubber tree). The record is from RNAcentral. Lineage: Eukaryota; Viridiplantae; Streptophyta; Magnoliopsida; Malpighiales; Euphorbiaceae.